CCCGCAAAUGCUGAAAAAGGAAUACCAGUACGCUCUUCAGUCCAGUCCAACCCUCAGCAAAUGGCAUUAGGAAUCCUGUGUGGUUCAGUUGGUUGAGCAUGGAGCUUGCAACGCCAGGGUUGUGGGUUUGAUUCCCACAGGGGACCAGUAUUCAUAUAAAAGCUGUACAGGUUAUGAGCAGAAGGUGGUGGAGUGGUUCAAUCGAGACGGGUCCAAGACAGCUGGGGAGGAUGUAGCAGAAUGGAUCUUCCUGGUGUCUGAGGACAGGAUCCAAAUGACAUACCACAGGGAGGAUGACCGGGUUAUUCCUGCUUGGAGAAACUUCAAGCCCAGAGAUUCAGGGGAUUCCCAAAUCCCACACUCCUUCACCCUUCAGAUGGCUCCCACCUAUCCACCUGGCAUCCACCUUUCAGGUGUAAUCUUCAGGGGCAAUAAACAGUAGCUAAGCAAUCUACAGAAUUUACACCUGGCUUAGAUCAUCUAUUUGGUGCCACCAGCAAUUUGAGAUAUAAUGUUCUUCCGUUAUGUGGGUUAAGUAACUGUGGUGUUUGUCCAAUGGUCUUUAUGUAUGUGCUUUCAGGUAGAUCCAUUUUAGAAGCCAAGUAAGAAUCUCUGUAUGAAAUGUUAGUCUAUAUGAUGGAGGAGGAGAAUGUGGCACAAUCAAGGAGUCUGAGAAAGAGGUGUGCAUGUGUUGUGUAUGUACUUUGGCAUGAAUAAAUAGACCUUUUCUGA
Salvelinus namaycush (lake trout) is the source of this 732-nucleotide long non-coding RNA. RefSeq lists it as uncharacterized. The record is from RefSeq and is a predicted model, not a curated record. The transcript is spliced from 2 exons. NCBI's taxonomy places the organism in Eukaryota, Metazoa, Chordata, Actinopteri, Salmoniformes, Salmonidae.